Molecule: ribosomal RNA, 497 nt
Filed under: uncultured bacterium
Lineage: Bacteria
Description: partial 16S ribosomal RNA
Rfam family: Bacterial small subunit ribosomal RNA
Source: RNAcentral
GACGAACGCUGGCGGCGUGCCUAAUACAUGCAAGUUGAGCGCUGAAGGUUGGUACUUGUACCAACUGGAUGAGCAGCGAACGGGUGAGUAACGCGUGGGGAAUCUGCCUUUGGGCGGGGGACAACAUUUGAAAACGAAUGCUAAUACCGCAUAAAAACUUUAAACACAAGUUUUAAGUUUGAAAGAUGCAAUUGCAUCACUCAAAGAUGAUCCCGCGUUGUAUUAGCUAGUUGGUGAGGUAAAGGCUCACCAAGGCGAUGAUACAUAGCCGACCUGAGAGGGUGAUCGGCCACAUUGGGACUGAGACACGGCCCAAACUCCUACGGGAGGCAGCAGUAGGGAAUCUUCGGCAAUGGACGAAAGUCUGACCGAGCAACGCCGCGUGAGUGAAGAAGGUUUUCGGAUCGUAAAACUCUGUUGGUAGAGAAGAACGUUGGUGAGAGUGGAAAGCUCAUCAAGUGACGGUAACUACCCAGAAAGGGACGGCUAACUACGUG